UCACUUAAUCUUUUCCAUUUAUGCUGGUCUGACACAGACAGUGCUACCCAUGAGUAGAGGACAACCUGGUCAGUUGUUUUCUACUUGCCUUGGGGCCUGUCUCUACAGCUCUGCCACACCU
RNAcentral lists this small nucleolar RNA (121 nucleotides) under Neotoma lepida (desert woodrat). RNAcentral describes it as "Small nucleolar RNA SNORA55". It matches the Rfam family "Small nucleolar RNA SNORA55". From Rfam's summary of the family: ACA55 is a member of the H/ACA class of snoRNA that guide the sites of modification of uridines to pseudouridines. Lineage: Eukaryota; Metazoa; Chordata; Mammalia; Rodentia; Cricetidae. The record is from Rfam by way of RNAcentral.